This 213-nucleotide unclassified non-coding RNA is filed under the name Glomeraceae sp. Its description in RNAcentral is "partial contains 5.8S ribosomal RNA and internal transcribed spacer 2". The stretch from base 1 to 65 matches the Rfam family "5.8S ribosomal RNA", at positions 84 to 154 of the family's 154-position model. The record is from RNAcentral. Lineage: Eukaryota; Fungi; Glomeromycota; Glomeromycetes; Glomerales; Glomeraceae.
GUGAAUCAUCAAAUCUUUGAACGCAAAUUGCACUCUCCUCGGAGAGUAUGCCUGUUUGAGGGUCAGCCUAAAAAAAAUCACCACCUUUGCUGUUCCCCGUUGACUUUCGUCGGAAAUGGGGUUAUCUUAAACCUUUUGGUUUAACCACCUAAAAUUUUCCUUUUUGUUCCCUUGACGGUUCUAAGGUUUUAUUCUUUUCACGGUUUAGGUAAC